AAACAGAGUCUGCAUAAGCAAACGUAUCUUUGAUGGAGCGAGGAGAAACGAAUCGAGACAGAAUCAUUCCGCUACCAGCUUUAUCGUUAGUACCACUGGCACGAGCACCACCAAAAGGUUGUUCACCAACAACAGCACCAGUACACUUAUCAUUGAUAUAGAAGUUACCAGCGGCAUUACGGAGACGGUCAGUCAACUUUCUGACAACAACACGGUCCUGAGCGAAGAUGGAUCCGGUUAAACCAUAAGGAGUGGUAGUAUCGAUGAGAUCGCAAACAGCGUCUAAGUUGUCAUCCUCAUAUACAUAAACAGACAGUACGGGGCCGAACAAUUCGUUAACGAAUAUAUCAUGUUUAGGGUUUUUAGAAAGUAAAACGGUAGGUUCAACAAAGAAACCUUCGGAAUCAUCAGCUUUACCGCCAGCCAAAACUUCAAUUUCAGAAUCGGAAGCAGCACUCUCAAGAACCUUCUUCAGUUUGUUAAAGCUUGCUUGAUGGAUAACAGGGCCCACAAAAUUAGCAAAAUCAGUUAAAGGAGCACCGACCUUAAGAGACUUGACCUGUUUGGUAAGCUCAUCACGGAAACCAUUUUCCCAAGCAUACUUAGAAACGUAAAGACGAGAAAGGGCAGAGCACUUUUGGCCUUGAUAUUCGAAAGCAGCACGAACAGCAUUAACAACGGCACUCUUAAUUUCAGCGGAAGAAUGUACAAGAUGAAAGUUCUUACCACCAGUCUCACCGACGAUUUUGGGGUAAGUGCGGUAUUUUCCGUUGGCAACAUUCUCGCCAAUUGUUCCCCAAAGGCUACGAAAGACGGCUGUGCUACCAGUAAAAUGAAGACCAGCAAACUCAGGGUGGUUGAAACAAACCUUGGAGACUUCAACAGCGUCACCAGGGAUAAAUUGAAGUGCUCCAGCGGGAAGACCAGCUUCACGGAAGAUUUGGUAAACAAUGUAGCUAGAAAGGACUGCAUGGUCAGAAGGCUUCAUUAAAACGACGUUGC
This is a non-coding RNA of Schizosaccharomyces pombe (fission yeast), 1002 nucleotides long. The record is from the annotation of a GenBank genome assembly. NCBI's taxonomy places the organism in Eukaryota, Fungi, Ascomycota, Schizosaccharomycetes, Schizosaccharomycetales, Schizosaccharomycetaceae.